UGAACUUAUACAGGUAUGAUGUGGCUCAGAGAGGAGGGACUCAGUGUUCACAGAUCUGACAUGAUCUAAUGUGUUUGACAGAAACUGUGGUUAAAAGGAUUUCAAUCCGAGUCUUCUCAGAGUGAACACAAUCAAUGGAUCUUCAUUCAGUUAUUCUGUUCUGUGCCUCAACAGCUGCUGUCUUUGGAAAUGUCAUCAAACUGAACAAAACUGAUGUUGUUUAUGAGGAGGGUUCGAAUGUUAUAUUGUCCUGCAGUCAUUCACCUGCAGCUUCAGAUGAAAUCCACUGGUACCGUCAGUAUGAAAGAUCGAAACCUGAAUUUCUUGUACUCACCUUUGGUAGUGAAAAAGAUGUCAAGGUGUCUAAUAUAGAUAAAAGACUCACUGUUAAAGUUGAGAAAAAGAAGAAAAUCCAUGUGGAUCUGAAGAUCUCCUCUGCUGCUGUAUCUGACUCUGCUCUGUACUACUGUGCUCUGAGGCCCACAGUGACAGGAAACACAUCAGCUCUCUACAAAAACCUGUUACACUGA
Non-coding RNA from Carassius carassius (crucian carp), 530 nucleotides. The record is from the annotation of a RefSeq genome assembly. NCBI's taxonomy places the organism in Eukaryota, Metazoa, Chordata, Actinopteri, Cypriniformes, Cyprinidae.